AGAGCUCAGCAACCAGGAGGCCACCUUGGCCGUGGGCCUGCCGGCCGCUCUCCCUCCCAGGGGCCCUCAGGGCCGUGUGCUGUGCUUCACCCCGGGACACCUCAGUGCCCGCACAGGGCGCAAGGUCCUCAGGCUGCUCACAUACGGGCAUGGGAAGGGCCAGCGCCUGCCACACGGGAAGGACAGCACUCCAGCGUUCCCGAGGCCCGAGUCGAUGGACUGUGGGUAUCCUAAACGUUGGAUCAGCCUGCCGGCUUAGGCUGCACCCCUCCUUCCGAUGGGGUACUUGCCGCUAGAUCUGCAAGCUCAUUCGGGGAAGAAGCUGUUCUCACCACACCUGACAGAGUUGCCCUGAUGAUGUUCACAGGAUGGGCGGUCUGGA
Molecule: long non-coding RNA, 382 nt
Organism: Hyaena hyaena (striped hyena)
Lineage: Eukaryota; Metazoa; Chordata; Mammalia; Carnivora; Hyaenidae
Exons: 3
Source: RefSeq, a predicted model, not a curated record